RNAcentral lists this ribosomal RNA (459 nucleotides) under uncultured bacterium. Its description in RNAcentral is "partial 16S ribosomal RNA". It matches the Rfam family "Bacterial small subunit ribosomal RNA", at positions 338 to 795 of the family's 1533-position model. The record is from RNAcentral.
CCUACGGGCGGCAGCAGUGAGGAAUAUUGGUCAAUGGUCGGGAGACUGAACCAGCCAAGCCGCGUGAGGGAUGAAGGUACAGAGUAUCGUAAACCUCUUUUGUCAGGGAACAAAGGCGGGGACGUGUCCCCGGAUGAGUGUACCUGAAGAAAAAGCAUCGGCUAACUCCGUGCCAGCAGCCGCGGUAAUACGGAGGAUGCGAGCGUUAUCCGGAUUUAUGGGGGUUAAAGGGUGCGCAGGCGGUCUGUUAAGUCAGCGGUCAAAGCCCGGGGCUCAACCCCGGCCCGCCGUUGAAACUGGCAGUCUCGAGUUGGAGAGAAGUAUGCGGAAUGCGCGGUGUAGCGGUGAAAUGCAUAGAUAUCGCGCAGAACUCCGAUUGCGAAGGCAGCAUGCCGGCUCCACACUGACGCUGAGGCACGAAAGCGUGGGUAUCGAACAGGAUUAGAUACCCUGGUAGUC